GGCUUAGAAGCAGCCACUCAUUAAAAGAGUGCGUAAUAGCUCACUGGUCGAGUGACUCUGCGCGGAAAAUAUAACGGGGCUAAGCAUGCAACCGAAGCUUAGGAUGUCCGCAAGGGCGUGGUAGGGGAGCGUCGUGUACGGGGUGAAGUCGCAGCGGAAGCAGCGGUGGACUGUACAGGAGUGAGAAUGCCGGAAUGAGUAGCGAGAAUUAUGUGGGAAUCAUAAUGGCCGAAAAUCUAAGGUUUCUUGGGGAAGGUUCGUCCGCCCAAGGUAAGCCGGGAGCUAAGGCGAGGCCGCGAGGCGUAGUCGAUGCACAUACGGUAGAAAUUCCGUAGCCACCGAACUUUAAACCAGAAGGACACUUUCAGAUAGCGGGACCCAGCCGUUGGUAGAGCUGGGCGCAAGGGACCGAAAUAUAGUAGGGAAGUCCGCGAUGCUGGGAGGCGAGAAAAGCUCUGGUGUACACUAAGGUGCCCGUACCGCAAACCGACACAGGUAGAUGAGGAGAGAAUCCUAAGGCCAACGGGAGAAGGGUUGUUAAGGAACUCGGCAAAUUGACCCCGUAACUUCGGAAGAAGGGGAGCCUCGAAAGAGGCCGCAGUGAAUAGGCCCAAGCAACUGUUUACCAAAAACACAGGUCUAUGCUAAAUCGAAAGAUGACGUAUAUGGGCUGACGCCUGCCCGGUGCCGGAAGGUUAAGAGGAGAGCUUAGCGCAAGCGAAGGUUUGAAUUGAAGCCCCGGUAAACGGCGGCCGUAACUAUAACGGUCCUAAGGUAGCGAAAUUCCUUGUCAGGUAAGUUCUGACCCGCACGAAUGGCGUAAUGAUUUGGGCACUGUCUCAACAGCCCGCCCGGCGAAAUUGUAGUACUGGUGAAGAUGCCAGUUACCCGCAACUAGACGGAAAGACCCCAUGGAGCUUUACUGCAGUUUAAUACUGGGAAUCGGUAAUUCAUGUACAGGAUAGGUGGGAGACUGAGAAGCAUGGCCGUCAGGUCGUGUGGAGUCACCGGUGGGAUACCACUCUUGGAUUGCUGGUUUCCUAACCUGCGGCCCUGAAUCGGGUCGGGGGACACUGUUAGACGGGCAGUUUGACUGGGGCGGUCGCCUCCAAAAGAGUAACGGAGGCGCUCAAAGGUCAGCUCAGCAUGGAUGGAAACCAUGCAAGUGAGUGCAAACGCAAAAGCUGGCCUAACUGCGAGACUGACGGGUCGAGCAGUAACGAAAGUUGGAGUUAGUGAUCCGGUGGUAUGUGAGUGGAAAUGCCAUCGCUCAACGGAUAAAAGUUACCCUGGGGAUAACAGGCUGAUCUCCCCCAAGAGUCCACAUCGACGGGGAGGUUUGGCACCUCGAUGUCGGCUCAUCGCAUCCUGGGGCUGUAUUCGGUCCCAAGGGUUUGGCUGUUCGCCAAUUAAAGCGGCACGCGAGCUGGGUUCAGAACGUCGUGAGACAGUUCGGUCCCUAUCUGUUGCGGGCGUAAGAGAUUUGAAGGGAGCUGUCCUUAGUACGAGAGGACCGGGAUGGACGUACCUCUGGUGCACCAGUUGUCCUGCCAAGGGCAUAGCUGGGUAGCUAUGUACGGACGAGAUAAACGCUGAAAGCAUCUAAGCGUGAAACUCUCCCUAAGAUGAGAUCUCUCAUCCAUUAUGGAGUAAGGGCCCAGAAAGACGAUCUGGUUGAUAGGCCGGAGGUGGAAGCGCGGUAACGUGUGCAGCUGACCGGUACUAAUAGCCCGAGGGCUUGACCUA
RNAcentral lists this ribosomal RNA (1746 nucleotides) under human gut metagenome. Its description in RNAcentral is "bacterial LSU rRNA". It matches the Rfam family "Bacterial large subunit ribosomal RNA", at positions 1103 to 2925 of the family's 2925-position model. The record is from RNAcentral.